GCCUUAGUGGUGUAGUGGUAGUAGCACGCGUCACCGGUGUGGAUGAAACGAGGGUUCAAUUCCCGGCUGAGGCC
Molecule: non-coding RNA, 74 nt
Organism: Parelaphostrongylus tenuis
Lineage: Eukaryota; Metazoa; Nematoda; Chromadorea; Rhabditida; Metastrongylidae
Source: the annotation of a GenBank genome assembly